RNAcentral lists this ribosomal RNA (392 nucleotides) under uncultured bacterium. RNAcentral describes it as "bacterial SSU rRNA". It matches the Rfam family "Bacterial small subunit ribosomal RNA", at positions 30 to 424 of the family's 1533-position model. The record is from RNAcentral.
AUUGAACGCUGGCGGCAUGCUUUACACAUGCAAGUCGAACGGCAGCACAAACUUCGGUUUGGUGGCGAGUGGCGAACGGGUGAGUAAUGCAUCGGAACGUGUCCUGAAGUGGGGGAUAACGCAUCGAAAGAUGCGCUAAUACCGCAUAAUCUCUGAGGAGAAAAGUGGGGGAUCGAAAGACCUCAUGCUUUUGGAGCGGCCGAUGUCUGAUUAGCUAGUUGGUAGGGUAAUGGCCUACCAAGGCGACGAUCAGUAGUUGGUCUGAGAGGAUGGCCAGCCACACUGGGACUGAGACACGGCCCAGACUCCUACGGGAGGCAGCAGUGGGGAAUUUUGGACAAUGGGCGCAAGCCUGAUCCAGCAAUGCCGCGUGAGUGAAGAAGGCCUCGGUU